RNAcentral lists this ribosomal RNA (253 nucleotides) under uncultured bacterium. RNAcentral's name for it is "partial 16S ribosomal RNA". It matches the Rfam family "Bacterial small subunit ribosomal RNA", at positions 524 to 776 of the family's 1533-position model. The record is from RNAcentral.
UACGUAGGCAGCGAGCGUUGUUCGGAGUUACUGGGCGUAAAGGGUGCGUAGGCGGUUCGUUAAGUCGGUGGUGAAAUCCUGGAGCUCAACUCCAGAACUGCCUUCGAUACUGGAAGACUUGAGUCCGGGAGAGGUGAGUGGAACUGCGAGUGUAGAGGUGAAAUUCGUAGAUAUUCGCAAGAACACCAGUGGCGAAGGCGGCUCACUGGCCCGGUACUGACGCUGAGGUGCGAAAGCGUGGGGAGCAAACAGG